RNAcentral lists this long non-coding RNA (471 nucleotides) under Salvia miltiorrhiza (redroot sage). Its description in RNAcentral is "long non-coding RNA (SMIL_LNC010948)". The record is from RNAcentral. Lineage: Eukaryota; Viridiplantae; Streptophyta; Magnoliopsida; Lamiales; Lamiaceae.
AUUUUUCUUAAAACACGUGUCGAAAGUAUAAGGUAACAAAAAGUGUGGCCCGAAAACUUCAUCGUGGGAGAAGAAAAAAUCAAACUCGAUCGAAAGUUUAUUUAUUUUACACUAACAUUUAAAAGUCACGAGAAAAAUGAAAAUUCGUUCAAAGUUGGAUGAAUUUUGACGCUACUUACCCUAAUAACAGUAAAUUAGUUAGCGUUGGGAUUGAACCAGAGUGAGUGAUAAGAGUCGUAGUUUGGAUGAGAAAAGGUCCAGCGACGACACUCAGCCCCCUUUCGAUAAUAAAAAAUACCGUGAUCGUAGUAACCGCUGUUGAUACGAUUGUCGCCGGCAAAGUAGAUGGCAUCGGCUUUCAAUCCGGCGACGUCUCUCACCGCAAACGGCUGAUUCAUCCCCACGAACAUCGUCAGCCCUUCCAACGACUCCUCCAUCUUCCUCAUCAAUCCGCCGUCGAUCUCGUACNNN